RNAcentral lists this transfer RNA (67 nucleotides) under Conus ventricosus. RNAcentral describes it as "tRNA-Thr". It matches the Rfam family "tRNA". From Rfam's summary of the family: Transfer RNA (tRNA) molecules are approximately 80 nucleotides in length. Lineage: Eukaryota; Metazoa; Mollusca; Gastropoda; Neogastropoda; Conidae. The record is from RNAcentral.
GCAAUGAUAGCUUAAAUAAAAGCAUUGGUCUUGUAAGCCAAAAAUGAAUUUAAAUAUUCUCGUUGUC